CUACGGGACGCAGCAGUGGGGAAUAUUGCACAAUGGAGGAAACUCUGAUGCAGCAACGCCGCGUGGAGGAUGACACUUUUCGGAGCGUAAACUCCUUUUAUAUAGGAAGAUAAUGACGGUACUAUAUGAAUAAGCACCGGCUAACUCCGUGCCAGCAGCCGCGGUAAUACGGAGGGUGCAAGCGUUACUCGGAAUCACUGGGCGUAAAGAGCGUGUAGGCGGGUUAAUAAGUCAGAAGUGAAAUCCUAUGGCUCAACCAUAGAACUGCUUUUGAAACUGUUAACCUAGAGUGUGGGAGAGGUAGAUGGAAUUUCUGGUGUAGGGGUAAAAUCCGUAGAGAUCAGAAGGAAUACCGAUUGCGAAGGCGAUCUACUGGAACAUAACUGACGCUGAGACGCGAAAGCGUGGGGAGCAAACAGGAUUAGAUACCCUAGUAGUC
This 439-nucleotide ribosomal RNA is filed under the name uncultured bacterium. RNAcentral describes it as "partial 16S ribosomal RNA". It matches the Rfam family "Bacterial small subunit ribosomal RNA", at positions 339 to 795 of the family's 1533-position model. The record is from RNAcentral.